Molecule: ribosomal RNA, 208 nt
Filed under: uncultured bacterium
Lineage: Bacteria
Description: partial 16S ribosomal RNA
Rfam family: Bacterial small subunit ribosomal RNA
Source: RNAcentral
CACGCAGGCGGUUUCUUAAGUCAGAUGUGAAAGGCCACAGCUCAACUGUGGACAUGCAUUUGAAACUGAGAGACUUGAGUAUUGGAGAGGCAAGUGGAAUUCCUAGUGUAGCGGUGAAAUGCGUAGAUAUUAGGAGGAACACCGGUGGCGAAGGCGGCUUGCUGGACAAAUACUGACGCUGAGGUGCGAAAGCGGUGGGGAGCAAACA